GGAAUUUUAGUAAAAUUCUCUAAAUAAUAGGAUUAUGAUAAAUAAAAAAAUAAAUUCAAGGAUUCCUCAUAGUUCUUUUAAAUAUACUUUACAUGUAAAGAUUUUACAAAUAUAAAUAUGCAUACUUAAACAAGAUGUAGCAUUAUUGUUAGAGAAUUUUUGAGAUAAAAAAAAAAUAUACAUAUAUGUAUAUUUAUAUAUAUCCUCCAUUGCCCUUUAGUUAUUCUCUCAUUAAUUCCAAAGAGUUUUCUUUCUUUUCUCCAAAACUCAAAUUCCAAACAAAAAUUUUCAAGUCUAAUCAUCACCCAUCAUACAACAACGAGCAAGUUUGAUAUGAGCAUCAAAUGUAUGGCCACCGAAGUACCUGAACAAACAACGACUAGUUAGAGAGCCUUGUUGUCCACCACCUCCAUGACCAGAGCCUUUAUAGAUGUAUGCACUGUUCGGUCAAAGAUGGCACGUGCAUCAAGAUUCCAAUUAAAAGUGAUUGUCGAGCUCGGGCCAUUAAUCAAAAAACAUGAUCAUGCAGUCUGGAGUAUACCUAUAGUCGACAUAAAGUUUGAAAGAUGACACUUCUAAUAUGCAUAAUCUUUAAGUUAGAGUGAUGAUUAGGACUAUGCAUUCUGCAUAUAAUAAAUGUAGGUGCGAUACUAAUUGUCCCUAAAGCGACUCUUGUAGAAAUCAAAAGAGACACAAGAGGUGCAUUAUGCAUUUUGGAUCUCUUGUACACCCUUUGCAAGUUUUAUGACUUGCCUUUUCUUAGUUAGGAUCACAGUUUAUCUUUUAGAAACAUAUAUAUACAUAUUAUUCUACAUAACAUGCAGUGAAUUUGCACACAAAUAUAUACAUGUACAACAAAAAUCAUGAUAAAGAUUUACCUCUCAUAAUGCCAGUUAGGGAACCUCCACCUUUUAUUAGCCAAAACAUCAUGGGAGAGCUUGUAAUCCAUAGUAAUGUGGAGGCAUAAUCGUUGGUCCUUUUUACACCUUGUACAAGUCAUGAACUCGCCCCG
RNAcentral lists this long non-coding RNA (1012 nucleotides) under Carica papaya (papaya). Its description in RNAcentral is "long non-coding RNA (CPAP_LNC015095)". The record is from RNAcentral. Lineage: Eukaryota; Viridiplantae; Streptophyta; Magnoliopsida; Brassicales; Caricaceae.